Molecule: ribosomal RNA, 375 nt
Filed under: uncultured bacterium
Lineage: Bacteria
Description: bacterial SSU rRNA
Rfam family: Bacterial small subunit ribosomal RNA
Source: RNAcentral
ACGUAGGAGGCGAGCGUUAUCCGGAGUUACUGGGCGUAAAGCGCGCUCAGGCGGUUCGUUAAGUCGGGCGUGAAAGCCCCAUGCUAAACGUGGGGAGGACGAACGAUACUGGCGAACUAGAGUAGAGCAGAGGGACAUGGAAUUCCGGGUGUAGCGGUGAAAUGUGCAGAUAUCCGGAGGAACACCAGAGGUGAAAACGGUGUCCUGGGCUCAUACUGACGCUGAGGUGCGAAAGCGUGGGGAGCGAACGGGAUUAGAGACCCCGGUAGUCCACGCUGUAAACGAUGCCAACUGGAUGCUUGUGUCCCGAAAGGGAUGUGGGUGUCGGAGCUAACGCGGUAAGUUGGCCGCCUGGGGAGUACGGUCGCAAGGCUA